UGCAUCUGCAGCUCAUGAGGAUGAGAACCUCCGGGGGCAGGGAGGUUCGACUCGAGCGAAGCGAGAGAACGUUGCGCCAGCAACGGCCCGCAGGGCGAGCCA
Molecule: small RNA, 102 nt
Filed under: Escherichia coli
Lineage: Bacteria; Pseudomonadati; Pseudomonadota; Gammaproteobacteria; Enterobacterales; Enterobacteriaceae
Description: partial RtT sRNA
Rfam family: RtT RNA
About the family: This family represents a bacterial cis-regulatory element known as RtT RNA. The exact function of RtT is unknown although it is thought that it may be involved in changing the cellular response in relation to amino acid starvation.
Source: RNAcentral